Non-coding RNA from Caretta caretta (loggerhead turtle), 8507 nucleotides. Lineage: Eukaryota; Metazoa; Chordata; Testudines; Cheloniidae. The record is from RefSeq and is a predicted model, not a curated record.
UCAGAGACGUUAACUCGUUCGGGCUGGCGCUGCCGCCAUUUUGAAUUCGCUCGCUGGUGGUGCGGUCAGUGGUUGCGGCGGCUCCGGGACCCCCUCAGAGCGCGAGAGAGACCGAAACAUGGCAGCGAACAGCCGGAACUUGAAACAAGUGCGGAUCGAAAACAGCUCCCCGGCGGCCCCGCUCGGCAUGGUGGGGGGCGGCGGCCUGAAGGGGAUGCGGGGCCUGGAGGCGGACAGCGAGGUAGGGGCCAUGGCGCCGGGCAAAGAGGCUUGCGACGAGGAGCAGGAGGUCGGGUUCACCAUCGACAUCAAGAGCUUCCUCAAGCCCGGCGAAAAGAGCUACACGCAGCGCUGCCGCCUCUUCGUGGGGAACCUGCCCACGGACAUCACCGAGGAGGACUUCAAGCGCCUCUUCGAGCGCUACGGGGAGCCCAGCGAGGUCUUUAUCAACCGCGACCGCGGCUUCGGCUUCAUCCGCCUGGAAUCUAGAACACUGGCUGAAAUAGCAAAGACAGAACUUGAUGGUACUAUUUUGAAGAGUAGACCACUUCGAAUUCGAUUUGCUACACAUGGAGCUGCCUUAACAGUCAAGAAUCUUUCACCUGUGGUUUCCAAUGAGCUUCUGGAACAAGCUUUUUCUCAAUUUGGUCCAGUGGAGAGGGCUGUUGUUGUAGUAGAUGACCGUGGCAGAGCUACAGGAAAAGGUUUUGUAGAGUUUGCAGCAAAACCUCCGGCAAGGAAGGCUCUAGAGAGAUGCAGUGAUGGGGCAUUCUUACUAACAACAACACCUCGACCUGUUGUUGUAGAACCUAUGGAACAAUUUGAUGAUGAAGAUGGGCUACCAGAGAAAUUAAUGCAAAAAACACAACAGUAUCAUAAGGAAAGAGAGCAGCCUCCACGUUUUGCUCAACCUGGAACAUUUGAAUUUGAGUAUGCUUCCCGAUGGAAGGCUCUUGAUGAGAUGGAAAAGCAGCAGCGAGAACAGGUUGACAGGAACAUUAGAGAAGCCAAAGAGAAACUAGAAGCGGAAAUGGAAGCAGCUAGACAUGAACAUCAGUUAAUGCUGAUGAGGCAAGAUCUCAUGAGGCGCCAGGAAGAACUGAGACGUUUGGAAGAACUUAGAAAUCAAGAGUUACAGAAACGCAAGCAAAUACAAUUGAGACAUGAAGAAGAACAUCGACGUCGUGAAGAAGAGAUGCUACGCCAGAGAGAACAGGAAGAACUGAGACGACAGCAGGAAGGAGGAUUUAAACCAAAUUUCUUGGACAAUAAACAGACACUGCACAGCAGAAGUGCUCCUUGGAAUUCUACCCACCUCUGCGAUAGCACUGAUAUCAUGGUGGAAGCUGUGAUUGGUGACUUCCAGAACAAGAAGAAGAAAUACAUUUAUAAAAUUGCUUUGGCAGAAAAAUUCCUCCUUCAGAGUUAUAGGUUUGGAAAAACUAAGUUCUCUUAUGACUCAGCCUGAGAUAAACUUCUGAAUUGAAAACUCCGUGUGCCCUCACAGUAGAGAAGUUUUCAAGGUGGAUGGCAAUGCAUGCUAAAUUGUACUAGAAUCAAACAUAAGAUUGGAGAGCAUUCCUCGUUUUGCAUGAUGGCAGUAUACAGUGAAGGUUAGAAAAAGGUAGCUAUUAAGCAUUAGCUCUCACUUAACUGUCUAUUCCACAUGCUGCUUCAUAUAUAUGUUUAUUUUAAACGUAUAGUUGAUGCUUUUUUGAGUAGUGUCCCUGUAUGUGCUCCACUUCAGGUGCACCUGAGCCCUAUGCCUUUGAUUGAAAAUUUUUGGUAGUAGUGACUGUGCUGCCUGCUCAUUUAUACCCCACACAUUCUCAUGCCUGGUGCUGAGGCUAUUUGGGGCUGUGUAGGCAAACUGCCCUCAGUUCCUUCAGAGCUCCCUUUGGCGUCUACUGUGUGCCUGUUCUCUAAUAUUUAGCUUUUUCUCACUUAGUUACCUUAUAGUGAUAGUUGUUGGAACAAUUGUUCCCUCGGGGAUUUUUUUCCUUAAAAAGGCCAAACGUUUUAUUCACAGAGACAGUUAUAUAGUUUGGAGAUUUCCCCUUCCAGGGGUUACAUUUUCAUUAGUUUUUCUUGGGACAGCUGGUCUCCCAUUCAAGAGAUGCCUCUACUAUUGUGUGGCUAUUCCAAUAAGUGAUGGACAUUCUCAGUGCCUCUGCUGACUGGAUGAUACUCAUAUCCCCAAUAAGUGCAGGAUCUGCACUUUCUUCAAAGAUAGAUUUUAAAAAAUAGAGAAAGUAAGUAUCAGCUCCUAAUGAUGGAGAAAGCUUUAGGUCCUGUGCAGGAUGUAGGAGCGGAGGAUCCACUCCUCCACCCCCCAAUACAUUGAACUCCCAGUAUAGCUAGUGCCCCGUUCACAUCAAUGUCUGAGUCACUGGAGACUGGUAGAGAGGUAGGCAGCACUGUGGCACAGAGUACAUCUAUGGUCCUUAUUUACAUCUGGCUCUAAGCAGGAGGAGGAAAGGAAUAAAUCUCAUGCACAAAUAUGGCUAUUUAAAUUAUAACAAAUUAUAUUCUUUAAUGAGCAUCUGCCAGAAGAACAUCAAGAGCAAUUUAAGUCCAUUAUACAAGGGGGUCAGCUCCUGGCAUCACUCCAGGCCCCCUUGGAUGGGGCACAUAAGACAGCACAGUCUAACUCCACUGCAGUGGUUAUGAGAAGAGCAUCUUGGCUAUAGCUGUCGGGCUUUCCGAGAGAGGUUCAUAGUACUGUCAUAGACCUCCCCUUUGACAGUCGCAGUCUCUUUGCAGACUUGAUGGAUGCCUCUCUCCACAUUUUAAAAGACUCAAGAGCUACACUGUGAUCACAAGGGAUUUAAAGACCUGUAAAUAAAAGAUUUAGUAGGUCUGGUACUGCACAAGGAGCAUACCAAGCCCUGUAUUCAACAUACCGUAGACCAGGAAUAUUCAGUUAUUUUUGUCAAGGUUCAAAUUUCUUGGUGAAGUUAUAGUCAAAGUCCAGUCUGCAGAGAAAAUAAUAAAAAUGUUGGGGUCUAUACAAACGCAUCUGGCGGUCUGUAUUUGGUCCGUGGUCUGCCUGCUUGACUACCUCUGCCCUAGACCCUUUGAACCCCCAGCCAAGGGAUGAAGAUCAGAUGUUUUGUCCACCAAAUGACAGUUUUGGUGGCUUGGUUCAGAGUCUCAACCAUCCAAUCAACAGAAUAGAGGGUGGAAGCCAAUUUUAGACUUCAGGUCUCUUGACCAAUAUGUAAAGCAACAAAAAUUCAGGACGGUGACUCUGGCAGCAAUAAUUCCUUCAUUAGAAGUAGGAGAUUGGUUUGCAACUUUCAACCUACAAGAAACAUAUUGUCAUGUCUCUAUUCACCCUUUUCAUUUUCUAAUAACAAACACUGCCAAUACAGGGUGCUCCCUUUAGGUUUAUCUUCAGCACCAAGGAUAUUUUCAAAGAUUCUGGCAGUAGUUGCUGCUCACCUACGGCAUACUCAUUCUCCCAUCUUAGACAAUUGGUUGAUCAGGGGUGGAUCAUAUCAGGAAGUGUUGAUGUCAGUAAAGAUCAUGUGUUCCCUGUUUCACAGCCAGGACAUUUGGGGGGGGAGGGGAUAGCUUAGUGGUUUGAGCAUUGGCCUGCUAAACCCAGGGUUGUGAGUUCAAUCCUUGAGGGGGCCAUUUAGGGAACUGGGGCAAAAAUUGGGGAUUGGUCUUGCUUUCAGCAGGGCGUUGGACUAGAUGACCUCCUGAGGUCCCUUCCAACCCUGAUAUUCUAUGAUUCUAUGAAAUCAACCUUGAAAAGUCCAUUUUGACUCCACUACCAUGUCUAGAUUUCAUAGGAACUUUCUUGGAUGCAGUGACAGGCAGAGCAUAUCUACCAUUGAGCAGAUUUCUCACACUAAUGAAUCUCAUCUCAAAGAUUCAGCAUAUUCCUCAAGUAGCAGUAAGAGAUUGUCUUCAACUGCUGGGACACAUCAGCUUGUGUCACUGUAGUGCAGCAUGCCUGAUUACACCUCCUAAGUUGACAGGGAUAGUUUCAGUUUGCAAACCAAGCAAACACAGUCUAGUCAGGUUACUGUCUGUUCUCCAGUGGGUUCUGCAAUCACUCAGUUGGUAUAAAGACCAGACCAAAACCUGUGUAGGUGUUCCGCUCUUGCAGAUUCCCCCUACUGGAGUGAUAAUAUCAGAUGCGUCACUUUUGGGUUGGGUGGGCACAUCCGGGACCUCAUAAGGUAUAAGGAAAGGGACAUUAUAAGAACAGCUUCUCCACAUCAGUCUUUUGGAAUUGAGAGCCAUCAAAAAUGCUUCAUUAUGCUUUCUACCACUAAUCAAUUUGAAGUCAGUAAAGAUAAUGACAGACAGGCAUUCAUGUAUUAUGUCAGUUGUCAAGGAGGUGCACUUUUCCCAGCAGUCUGGGCGGUAGCAGUAGAACUCUGCAACUGGUGCAUAGCCAGCAACACCGUCAUCUCAGCUUCUUACUUCCCAGGUAUUCAGAACACCAUGGCAGAUGACCUCAGCAUACAUUUCUUUCUAUAUUACGAAUGGGAAUUGAAGAGUCCUCCGCAAGAUAGUCUUACCCUGGGGGUUCCCGCAGAUCAGUCUGUUUGCCAUAGCAGCCAAUAGAAAAUGCAUCAGGUAUUGCUCCAUGAGAGGGCUCGAUCCUCAAUGCAUUGGAGGCAUGUUCCUCAUCUCAUGGACAAAAGGACUUCUCGGUCCAUAACUACUGAUACCAUUAUUAUUAAAGGUUCUCAACAAGAUCUAGCCAGAGUCAUACUGAUCGCACCAAUGUGACCAAGACAGAUCUGGUAUCCCUAUUUGAUCAGAUUCACUUCUUGCCCUUUGUGGAGGCUAUUGGUCAGUCCUUAUCUACUGACCCACAAUGCCAGUCCAUCACUUCACCCCAACCUGCAGAUUUUGAGGCUACAAGCAUGGUUCCCCAGUGGUUCUCAGUAAUAGCGAUACCCUGUUUGUCAGAGGUACAACAUGUUUUAUUAAAUAGUAGAAAAGAAUCUACAAGAAAUAACUUUAGAAAAUGGAAACAAUAUUAUCUUUGGUGUAACAUUCACCAGAUGUUGCCAACUCGCUGUCCUCUUCCCAGGGUAUUGAAUUCCCUAUUGGAACUGAAAACAUUGGGUCUUUCUCUAAAUUCCAUAACAACUUUUCACAUAUCCAUAGGGGUUUUUUCACUCUUCACUUACCCAGCUAUGGCAAGAUCUCUAAGGGGUUUAUUGAAUAUCUCCCCUACUCCAAGCUGGGACUUGAACCCAGUACUUACUUGCCUUAUGAAACACCCUUUUGAGCCACUGACUACAUCUUCUUUGGUAAAUUGAUCAACAAAGACAAUCUUCCUGAUAGUAAUAACUUCUGCCUGAAGGGUGAGAAAACUGGGGACCUUAAUGGCAGACACAACAUUUUACAGUAUUCACCAGAGAGAAAGUGUCAGUACCAGGCACUUCCAAGUUUUUUUUACCUAUAGUGUUCUCCGAAUUUUAUAUUAAUCAAACCAUUCCUCUCCCAGAUUUUCCCCCCAAAACCACACUGGACUACUCAGGAAACCAUAUUUGAUAGCCUAGAUGUCAUGAGGGCGUUAGCCUUCUACAUAGUUAGGACUAAACCAUUUAGAAGAUCCCUUAGACUAUUUAUAUCCAUUUCAGACAAAAACAAGGAUUCAGUAACUUCAAAACAGGUUAUCAAAAUUGAUCUCCGGUUGUAUUAAGAUUUGUUAUGACAGAACUCAUGUUCAAUGCCCUUCGAGAGUGGUAGCACGUUCCACAAAAGCACUAUCUACAUCUAUAGCCUUACUUAAGGAUGUACCAAUUGCAGACAUCUGUAGGGUGGCAACUUGGUCAUCUGAUCAUAUUUUGCUUAAUCAUUAUGCUUUGGUACCUGCAGCAAGAUCAGAUGCUGCUGUAGGCAAUAUAGUUCUCUCUUCGUGUGGACUCUGCUCCAAACCUGCCACCUCCUUUAAUGGGGGUACUGCUCACAAGUCACCUGAAGUGGAGAACCCCCAGAGACACUACUUGAUGAAGGAGAAAUUCUGAGGACACCUUAGGUAAAAAUCUUGGACGCUUUCUCACCUUGCACAAUAGCUGGAGUUUGAGGUGUUUGGUGCUACACUAUCCGCCCUCCUUCCCCUCUGUUUUGGAGUCUCUGUUAUGGGUCUUGGUGGUGGAGAAGGAACUGAAGGUGGCUUACCUGUGCAGCCCCAUAGAAUCUUGGCACAGGGCACAAGGAUUUGUGGGGUACCCAUGCAGGCUGAACGGGCAUUGCUACCAGAAAUCUCUGAUCAAAGGUGCAAGGCACAAGUGAACCUGAAGUGGAGCACCAACAAGGGGACAUAUCUCAAAGAACUCCAGUUACUGCUCAAGAUGAGUAACCUCUCCCUCCUUCCUCUGCUAUGUGGCUGGUACAGGUGUGAGCUAUAUAAUUGAUUUGACACACUAAUACUUGAGCGUUAUAUUAAGAACUUCUUAUAUUUUGAAAGUGAAAUUUUGUUGAAUGCUAUAUACAGUACCAAAUAAUGCUUACAACAGUUCUGUACUUUUUGCUUGAAAUAUUUCAGUCUGGGUAACAGUUUUACAAAUAAUAGUUUAAUCUUUAAACUGGUAUCAGCUGAUCUGCACUUGGGUGGGAAGAGGGGAAACCGUGUAUUUUUGCCUCUUUCAGACCAUAAAUCAAGGGCUAGUGCUGGGGAACGUUGUUUUGCCAUGAAAGCACUUGACUUGGUCUGCCAAGGCAAAUUUAGGCAUGGUAAGUUGCUGUUGGUUGAAGGAUGAUUUUGUGGUGAAUGGCAUUAGACUGGGAGUCAAGAGACUUCUGUUCCCAGUUCUACCACUGACUUGCUGGUUAAUCUUGGGAAAAUCAGUCCUUUUGCUUCAGCUUUUGCCAGCUGUAAAAUGGGGAUAAAACUUACCACUUCUCUGUGUUGAGCCUUUUUUCAUAGACUGAUAGCUUUUAAGGUGAGAAUGGGCCAUUAUGGUUCUAGAAUUUCAUCAAGCCCAGUAAUUUGUGCUUGAACUAGAGUGUAUAUUUAGAAAGUCAUCAAACAUGUCUUAAUUCAUGUCUGUAAAAUGCAUUGAGAUGCAUAAUAAUGUUACUAAUAUUACUGCUUUUCUAUUAUUAUCAGAACUUAAACUCACUUUAUUGCUAUCGGUGUGCUUUUCAGUCCUCAGUUAGGACUUGAUAUUAGUGAUUGUCUCAAACUCCAGAAACUAAAAACUAAGGGUCAGAUUUUUAAAAAUGGAUUUCAAAAGUUAUUCCUAAUUUAUAGUUAACAGUUUACACCUAUUUUAAAAAUAUUUCUAAAAUAGUGUGAACAUUGAUUUCUGGUUCUAAAGAUAGUGGCAAUUCUAUCAGAAUUGGUAUAGGAAAAAAAGCAAGAUGAGAAACUGUUGUGAUGUUACUCUGAUAGCUCACAACUUGCCAGGCUGUAAAUGGAUGUGGCAUAAUAGUAAAUCUGAGAACCAGCCUCUUCUUUGUAAUGUUACAUGGGGCAUUAAAUUCUAGCCCUAAUAUUUCACAAGAUAUCCAGACUUAACUUUAUCACUUGUUCCUUGCUUUUAGUAGUGCUGUUUAGAUGAGGGUCCAAGGCUGAAUAUCAGUUGUCCCAGAUUUUGUACUAGUGCAAUUUUUGUCCCCGGGAAGUCUUAGUGCAAACACAUAUAUGCCUCCAUCCCAACAAAAUAUGUAUGUUGACUAUUUAUUUGAAACAUCUAUAUUUAAUUUUUUCUGUUUGUUUUUUUUAUAAGCUGUCGGGUAAGUCACAUCUAGAUAGACCUAUAAGAGGUAAAGCAUUUGUGGCGUAUGCUACCAUUUAUUAAAGAAGCUUGUGUAUUUUUUGUGGCUAUCUUGAAAUACUGGCUUAGUUCCUUGUUUCAGAUCAAAUUUAGAAUUUUUUUUCUUUCAAGUAUAGUAGAAGCUUUAAAUAGUUAGUGUGUGCUUAUAUCAUGAUAAAGAAAUAAAUUCUUAUGAAAUGGAAGAGACUGCAUAUGCUAGUGAAGCAGUGUAGGGAGUAUAGGACUUCACUGCAAUAAAAAUAAUUCAUUUCAAAAUAUAGGUCAACUGAGAUACGUAAAAUAAAAUUUGGUCUAAUUUUUUGACCUGUGUGAAUUGGUAUAAAUUAUACACCUGCUGCUAAAUUUGCUUCCUUUUGCCUGUUCUCCUUUUCAUGCCUAUAUGUAUGUAUUCUCAGUAUCUCUAUAGAUAUUUUAAUUUUAAAUUAAGGAUUUAAAAGAUGGGGGUUCUUUGAAUAAAACUUCUUGAAAUUGUUGAUCUUUACAAAGACAUGCAACAUAGCCCUUCCUUGCCCUUCCCCCAGAACAUUCAUGUCAUGGUUUAAGAAGUUGUAGCCCUACAAAGACUUUUCAAAUCUGCUGUCAUUAUUUGGAAGAGGAUAUUAGAACACUGGCCUUACUUGAUACCUCCUGCAAAAUGACAGGUUAAAAUUAAAAUGCUAAAAUGCAGAUGAAGAUUGGUUUAAAAACAAAGUUCUACUCUGUCUUAAGAGUACAGAGGGUCAAGAUCCUGAAGCCUUUUUUUUUUUUUUU